GGAACUCUGGAGAAGCCCACACACAAAACGGGUGCCGAAGGGGCAAAGCGCGUUUCGCGUUAAUCUCUCAGGCAAAAGGACAGAGAGCA
This 89-nucleotide non-coding RNA is filed under the name Candidatus Cryptoclostridium obscurum. RNAcentral's name for it is "Glycine riboswitch". It matches the Rfam family "Glycine riboswitch aptamer", at positions 9 to 86 of the family's 94-position model. From Rfam's summary of the family: This family represents the bacterial glycine riboswitch. The record is from RNAcentral. Lineage: Bacteria; Bacillati; Bacillota; Clostridia.